GAUGCUUCGAUCAGAUUGGUAGGCCUAGUGGAGAGAGUCAUUUGAGCGGGAUUUCUUCCAGGAUUUCAACCAGCAAUGGCUCAGGCCAGGAGUGAGAUUGCUUUUCAGGAGACUGUCAAUGUGGGCCGCAGAGUUGAGGUGGUCAUAGGUCGGAUAAAAGGCCCCAUCAUGCAGACAUAUUCAGUGGUACCUCAUCUGGAGGUAGGGGUACUUAUGGUAGAGGCCAUCCUCCCAAGCCCUUUCAGUCAGAUCCCUAUGUCACUCAUGGUACUUCAAAUGUUCA
This 283-nucleotide long non-coding RNA is filed under the name Nicotiana benthamiana. RNAcentral's name for it is "long non-coding RNA (NBEN_LNC020285)". Lineage: Eukaryota; Viridiplantae; Streptophyta; Magnoliopsida; Solanales; Solanaceae. The record is from RNAcentral.